GACGAACGCUGGCGGCGUGGAUUAGGCAUGCAAGUCGAACGGUAUCAUCCUUUCGGGGGUGAGAGAGUGGCGAACUGGUGAGUAACACGUAGGUUAUCUACCCUCAAGACGGGGACAACCCAGGGAAACUUGGGCUAAUACCGGAUGUGAGCAACUUUUAGUUGUUUGAAAGGUGGCGUAAGCUGUCGCUUGGGGAUGAGCCUGCGUCCUAUUAGUUAGUUGGUGAGGUAACGGCUCACCUAGGCAAUGAUAGGUAGGCGGCCUUAACGGGUGGUCGCCCACACUGGGAUUGAGAUACGGCCCAGACUCCUACGGGAGGCAGCAGUCGAGAAUAGUCUACAAUGGUCGGAAGACUGAUAGUGCGACGCCGCGUGAACGUAUGAAUCCCUUCGGGGUGUAAAGUUCUUUUAUAUGUGAGCAGUGCUUCUUAUAUUAACAGUAUGGGGAAGAGAUAUUAGCAUAUGAAUAAGCAACGGCUAACUCCGUGCCAGCAGCCGCGGUAAUA
This 505-nucleotide ribosomal RNA is filed under the name uncultured bacterium. RNAcentral describes it as "bacterial SSU rRNA". It matches the Rfam family "Bacterial small subunit ribosomal RNA", at positions 28 to 525 of the family's 1533-position model. The record is from RNAcentral.